Molecule: ribosomal RNA, 603 nt
Filed under: Triticum aestivum (bread wheat)
Lineage: Eukaryota; Viridiplantae; Streptophyta; Magnoliopsida; Poales; Poaceae
Description: partial small subunit ribosomal RNA
Source: RNAcentral
AUGGCGGACGAAUCGAGUACGCAGGGGCGGCAGGCAAGGGAGUCGCCGGAAGAGUUACUUGCACGGCUUAAUCUGCAGGAAGAGGAGGAGGAUGCUUUUGUUUGGGAGGAGGAACUGCCGAACCUGGGAGCCCUGGCGAAGUGGCUGGCCAUUGCCAGAGUACACACCUCGAAGAAUUUCAGCCCUAAUGCUCUGUACGGGGACAUGCGGGCGGCAUGGAAUCCGGCUAAGCAUGUAGUGUGGAUUAAGAUCAAAGAUAACCUAUUUACAGCUCAGUUUGGAUGUUUGGGUGACUGGAACAAGGCCAUGUUGGAGGGCCCGUGGCUGUUUAGAGAUCAUGCUGUAAUCAUGGAGGAGUAUGAUGGUUUUAAAAAUCCUGACAGCUUUAAGUUGGACAAGAUGGAAGUAUGGGCACAGGUCCAUCGGCUUCCCGAUAAUUUCCUGAUUGAACUGACGGUUAGGGGGAUGGCAUCUCACAUCGGGGAGGUAGAGGAAGUCCAGCUUAAGCUCCCAGCAGGUUUAUUUGCUGAAUUUGUCAGAGUGAGGAUGAAGAUAGAUAUAUAUGCUAAGAUCAAGAGGUUCGUGACUGGAAAGAAGGGAUAA